Molecule: microRNA precursor, 77 nt
Filed under: Cajanus cajan (pigeon pea)
Lineage: Eukaryota; Viridiplantae; Streptophyta; Magnoliopsida; Fabales; Fabaceae
Description: miRNA gene-KK1_042986
Source: RNAcentral
UUUUAAAAUCGGUUCUUAAAUAACCGAUUUUAAAAGUAGCACUUUUAAAAUCGGUCAUAAAAUAACCGAUCUUAAAA